RNAcentral lists this ribosomal RNA (371 nucleotides) under uncultured bacterium. Its description in RNAcentral is "bacterial SSU rRNA". It matches the Rfam family "Bacterial small subunit ribosomal RNA", at positions 525 to 896 of the family's 1533-position model. The record is from RNAcentral.
ACGUAGGGUGCGAGCGUUAAUCGGAAUUACUGGGCGUAAAGCGUGCGCAGGCGGUUAUACAAGACAGGCGUGAAAUCCCCGGGCUUAACCUGGGAAUGGCGCCUGUGACUGUAUAGCUAGAGUGUGUCAGAGGGGGGUAGAAUUCCACGUGUAGCAGUGAAAUGCGUAGAUAUGUGGAGGAAUACCAAUGGCGAAGGCAGCCCCCUGGGAUAACACUGACGCUCAUGCACGAAAGCGUGGGGAGCAAACAGGAUUAGAUACCCUGGUAGUCCACGCCCUAAACGAUGCUGACUAGUUGUUCGGGAUUUACAUCCUGAGUAACGUAGCUAACGCGUGAAGUCAGCCGCCUGGGGAGUACGGUCGCAAGAUUA